AAUAGAUACCCAGGUAGUCCACGCCGUAAACGAUGGAUACUAGCUGUUUGAGCGCAAGUUUGAGUGGCUAAGCGAAAGUGAUAAGUAUCCCACCUGGGGAGUACGGGCGCAAGCCUGAAACUCAAAGGAAUUGACGGGGGCCCGCACAAGCGGUGGAGCAUGUGGUUUAAUUCGAUGAUACGCGAGGAACCUUACCAGGGCUUAAAUGUAGAUUGACGUAUUUGGAAACAGAUAUUUCUUCGGACAAUUUACAAGGUGCUGCAUGGUUGUCGUCAGCUCGUGCCGUGAGGUGUCAGGUUAAGUCCUAUAACGAGCGCAACCCCUGUUGUUAGUUGCCAGCGAGUAAUGUCGGGAACUCUAGCAAGACUGCCAGUGUAAACUGUGAGGAAGUGGGGAUGACGUCAAAUCAUCACGGCCCUUAGUCCUGGGCCACACACGUGCUACAAUGGCCGGUACAGAGAGCAGCCACUUAGCGAUAAGGAGCGAAUCUAUAAAGCCGGUCACAGUUCGGAUCGGAGU
RNAcentral lists this ribosomal RNA (519 nucleotides) under uncultured bacterium. Its description in RNAcentral is "bacterial SSU rRNA". It matches the Rfam family "Bacterial small subunit ribosomal RNA", at positions 777 to 1304 of the family's 1533-position model. The record is from RNAcentral.